RNAcentral lists this ribosomal RNA (525 nucleotides) under uncultured bacterium. RNAcentral's name for it is "bacterial SSU rRNA". It matches the Rfam family "Bacterial small subunit ribosomal RNA", at positions 524 to 1050 of the family's 1533-position model. The record is from RNAcentral.
UACGGAGGAGGCAAGCAUUGUCCGGAAUUAUUGGGCGUAAAGAACACGUAGGUGGUUUUUCAAGUCAUGUGUGAAAACUUUGGGCUUAACUCAAAGAUUGCAUAUGAUACUGAUUAACUAGAGUACAGUAGAGGAAAGUGGAAUUCCUGGUGUAGCGGUGAAAUGCGCAGAUAUCAGGAAGAACACCGGUGGCGAAAGCGGCUUUCUGGACUGUUACUGACGCUGAGGUGUGAAAGCUAGGGUAGCGAACAGGAUUAGAUACCCUGGUAGUCCUAGCCGUAAACGAUGGACACUAGGUGUGGGGAGUUAUCGACGCUCUCUGUGCCGAAGCUAACGCAUUAAGUGUCCCGCCUGGGGAGUACGGUCGCAAGACUAAAACUCAAAGGAAUUGACGGGGGCCCGCACAAGCGGCGGAGCAUGUGGCUUAAUUCGACGCAACGCGAAAAACCUUACCAAGGCUUGACAUCAUAUUGACAAGUACAGAAAUGUACCUCCUUCGGGCAAUAUGACAGGUGGUGCAUGGCU